AACGAACGCUGGCGGCAGGCUUAACACAUGCAAGUCGAGCGCCCCGCAAGGGGAGCGGCAGACGGGUGAGUAACGCGUGGGGACGUACCUCUUGGUUCGGAACAACUCCGGGAAACUGGUGCUAAUACCGGAUAAGCUCUCACGGGGAAAGAUUUAUCGCCUAAGGAUCGGCCCGCGUGUGAUUAGCUAGUUGGUGAGGUAACGGCCCACCAAGGCGACGAUCAGUAGCUGGUCUGAGAGGAUGAUCAGCCACACUGGGACUGAGACACGGCCCAGACUCCUACGGGAGGCAGCAGUGGGGAAUAUUGGACAAUGGGCGCAAGCCUGAUCCAGCCAUGCCGCGUGAGUGAUGAAGGCCUUAGGGUUGUAAAGCUCUUUUGUCCGGGAAGAUAAUGACUGUACCGGAAGAAUAAGCCCCGGCUAACUUCGUG
RNAcentral lists this ribosomal RNA (431 nucleotides) under uncultured bacterium. RNAcentral describes it as "partial 16S ribosomal RNA". It matches the Rfam family "Bacterial small subunit ribosomal RNA", at positions 29 to 507 of the family's 1533-position model. The record is from RNAcentral.